Molecule: ribosomal RNA, 610 nt
Filed under: Limnobacter sp.
Lineage: Bacteria; Pseudomonadati; Pseudomonadota; Betaproteobacteria; Burkholderiales; Burkholderiaceae
Description: bacterial SSU rRNA
Rfam family: Bacterial small subunit ribosomal RNA
Source: RNAcentral
UGAGGCGGCGCUUAACAUGCAAGUCGAACGGUAACAGGGAGCUUGCUCCGCUGACGAGUGGCGAACGGGUGAGUAAUACAUCGGAACGUGCCCAGUAAUGGGGGAUAGCUCGGCGAAAGCCGGAUUAAUACCGCAUACGCCCUGAGGGGGAAAGUGGGGGACCGCAAGGCCUCACGUUAUUGGAGCGGCCGAUGGCUGAUUAGCUAGUUGGUAGGGUAAAGGCCUACCAAGGCGACGAUCAGUAGCUGGUCUGAGAGGACGAUCAGCCACACUGGGACUGAGACACGGCCCAGACUCCUACGGGAGGCAGCAGUGGGGAAUUUUGGACAAUGGGGGAAACCCUGAUCCAGCAAUGCCGCGUGUGCGAAGAAGGCCUUCGGGUUGUAAAGCACUUUUGUCAGGGAAGAAAUCCUUUGGGCUAAUACCCUAGGGGGAUGACGGUACCUGAAGAAUAAGCACCGGCUAACUACGUGCCAGCAGCCGCGGUAAUACGUAGGGUGCAAGCGUUAAUCGGAAUUACUGGGCGUAAAGCGUGCGCAGGCGGUUGUGUAAGACAGGUGUGAAAUCCCCGGGCUUAACCUGGGAAUUGCAUUUGUGACUGCACGACUAG